Molecule: long non-coding RNA, 284 nt
Organism: Strongylocentrotus purpuratus (purple sea urchin)
Lineage: Eukaryota; Metazoa; Echinodermata; Echinoidea; Camarodonta; Strongylocentrotidae
Exons: 3
Source: RefSeq, a predicted model, not a curated record
AUUUUCUUUAGCUGACGAUAUAGACCUAAUAAUACCAUGAAGAAUGAUACAAGUCUCAUUAAAAUCCAUGAUCACAUAACGAAGAUAUAUCGACUUUUUGUAUCGAAAAUCAGCCGUCCGCCAUAUGCAAUAGCGUUACAUGGGCAUGAAACGAUCGCCAAAAAAUAACCGAUAGUAUCGAAAUUGUGACGUAUGUUGCGAGCUGCCUUAUUUCGCAGACAUUCACUUUCGCUCGCGGUACACUGUUAUCGCACUGACACGACGAAUCAUGAAUGAAAGUGAAA